UUUGAAACGAGGAUCAAUCCCAAUUCGUUUUAUACAAAAGUUCAAUCGUGAUGUUUUUGAUGAUUUGCAGAACAAUCUUAAAGAACGCAAUGGCUUUAUUGCAUUUGGUGAUGACAGUGAAACUGUUGAAAUUCGCGGGAAAAGGAAAGAUCGAGAAAUAGUCCGUGAUGAAUUGGAACAAAUAUUCAACUCAGUCAUACGAGAGGAGCACACCAUUAAAAAUAUAUCAGUGACGUAUGUUUUCCAAGAUGAAAAAGCACGUGGAAAAAUCGAUGAAAUAGAGUCGAGUACUAGAUGUUUGAUACGGCUACAAGGCGAGCAUUGGGCAUUCCAGUAUGUAGCUAAAGAUGACGCAAAUAUCGGAGAUCAAGUUCCCGGG
Mya arenaria is the source of this 379-nucleotide long non-coding RNA. RefSeq lists it as uncharacterized. NCBI's taxonomy places the organism in Eukaryota, Metazoa, Mollusca, Bivalvia, Myida, Myidae. The record is from RefSeq and is a predicted model, not a curated record. The transcript has 3 exons.